UUUACAGUACACUGUGAGAGGACAAUUAGUAUAUGUGGUUGGAGAAGUUUCGGUACAUUAGCAAGACUUAGCAGCAGCCUAUAGCACUUUCAAGUUUAGAGAUUGUGUAACAACCGAAACCAGAAAUCUCCCUCAGAAAGAUGAAGACCUACAGCUUGGAUCAAACACAAAGACCGUCUUCUCGAAAAGGCUCAAUGCUCCGUGCUUUACUUUUCAUCAGGAAAACGACUAUGCAUAAAAUUGAUAGAGCCACAGAGGUUUCCUCUUGGACGAGCUCACAAGAAAUUUCAUGGGUAAUCAUGAGCCUCUGAGCCCCGUUAGAACGAAGAAAUCAUCCUAUGCGUCAUGAUUCUCUAUUGAGAACCUUAAAUGUGGCUUGUCCUAGCUUGAAUUUCGACACAGUUCCUUUUUGGUUCGCCCUUCUUGGGCAAACGGGAAGGUAUAUCCAUAUUCAUCACAGUUCCUUAUCAUCCAUAUUAAUAAGUUUCAUUAAUAAGUGUUUUGUCACUGGCCAUAUGGUCCAUGUAUUGUAUACGAUUGGGUAACAACAAUCCCAAAUUUCAUAGAUUCUUAUUCACUAUGUAAACCAAAAACGGCAAUCUUUUUGCGUCAUUAAUUCCACAAUUCUGGUAAUGAAAAAGUUGAAGGAGUCUUUUUCUAUCCGUUUGAAGUUUCUAGUCUACCAAGUUUUUAACAAGUAUACAAUGUGUUGUAUUUAAAUGUAAAAGAUGCUCUAUCC
Molecule: long non-coding RNA, 739 nt
Organism: Papaver somniferum (opium poppy)
Lineage: Eukaryota; Viridiplantae; Streptophyta; Magnoliopsida; Ranunculales; Papaveraceae
Exons: 3
Source: RefSeq, a predicted model, not a curated record